UGUAAGCGUAUACCAAAGUUGUUGCAGUUAAAACGCUCGUAGUCGGAAUUUGGCAGUUCCGGAAGUGUGCACGUCGUGUGCGCACUUUGCGGGACUGCUUUUGUGGUCUUGCGUAGGAUGAGGCACUUUCAUUAGUGAACGUCCUCACGCAACCACUCUUUACUGUGAGAAAAUCAGAGUGCUCAAAGCAGGCAUUUGCCGUGAAUGUAUUAGCAUGGAAUAAUAGAAUAGGACUCGGUUCUAUUUUGUUGGUUUGUUGGGACUGAGUAAUGAUUAAGAGGGACAGUUGGGGGCAUUUGUAUUCCGGCGCUAGAGGUGAAAUUCUUAGAUUGCCGGAAGACAAACUGCUGCGAAAGCGUCUGCCAAGGAUGUUUUCAUUGA
RNAcentral lists this ribosomal RNA (381 nucleotides) under uncultured eukaryote. RNAcentral's name for it is "partial 18S ribosomal RNA". It matches the Rfam family "Eukaryotic small subunit ribosomal RNA", at positions 592 to 976 of the family's 1831-position model. The record is from RNAcentral.